Molecule: ribosomal RNA, 923 nt
Filed under: uncultured bacterium
Lineage: Bacteria
Description: bacterial SSU rRNA
Rfam family: Bacterial small subunit ribosomal RNA
Source: RNAcentral
GUACCUGACUAAGAAGCCCCGGCUAACUACGUGCCAGCAGCCGCGGUAAUACGGAAGGUCCGGGCGUUAUCCGGAUUUAUUGGGUUUAAAGGGAGCGUAGGCCGGAGAUUAAGCGUGUUGUGAAAUGUAGAUGCUCAACAUCUGAACUGCAGCGCGAACUGGUUUCCUUGAGUACGCACAAAGUGGGCGGAAUUCGUGGUGUAGCGGUGAAAUGCUUAGAUAUCACGAAGAACUCCGAUUGCGAAGGCAGCUCACUGGAGCGCAACUGACGCUGAGGCUCGAAGGUGCGGGUAUCGAACAGGAUUAGAUACCCUGGUAGUCCGCACGGUAAACGAUGGAUGCCCGCUGUUGGUCUGAAUAGGUCAGCGGCCAAGCGAAAGCAUUAAGCAUCCCACCUGGGGAGUACGCCGGCAACGGUGAAACUCAAAGGAAUUGACGGGGGCCCGCACAAGCGGAGGAACAUGUGGUUUAAUUCGAUGAUACGCGAGGAACCUUACCCGGGCUUGAAUUGCAGAGGAAGGAUUUGGAGACAAUGACGCCCUUCGGGGCCUCUGUGAAGGUGCUGCAUGGUUGUCGUCAGCUCGUGCCGUGAGGUGUCGGCUUAAGUGCCAUAACGAGCGCAACCCCUCUCCUUAGUUGCCAUCAGGUGAAGCUGGGCACUCUGGGGACACUGCCACCGUAAGGUGUGAGGAAGGUGGGGAUGACGUCAAAUCAGCACGGCCCUUACGUCCGGGGCUACACACGUGUUACAAUGGCAGGUACAGAGAGACGGUCCCUUGCAAAAUGGAUCAAAUCCUUAAAGCCUGUCUCAGUUCGGACUGGGGUCUGCAACCCGACCCCACGAAGCUGGAUUCGCUAGUAAUCGCGCAUCAGCCAUGGCGCGGUGAAUACGUUCCCGGGCCUUGUACACACCGCCCGUCAAG